Molecule: ribosomal RNA, 736 nt
Filed under: uncultured beta proteobacterium
Lineage: Bacteria; Pseudomonadati; Pseudomonadota; Betaproteobacteria
Description: bacterial SSU rRNA
Rfam family: Bacterial small subunit ribosomal RNA
Source: RNAcentral
CCUUACACAUGCAAGUCGAACGGCAGCACGGGUGCUUGCACCUGGUGGCGAGUGGCGAACGGGUGAGUAAUACAUCGGAACAUGUCCUGUAGUGGGGGAUAGCCCGGCGAAAGCCGGAUUAAUACCGCAUACGAUCUAUGGAUGAAAGCGGGGGACCUUCGGGCCUCGCGCUAUAGGGUUGGCCGAUGGCUGAUUAGCUAGUUGGUGGGGUAAAGGCCUACCAAGGCGACGAUCAGUAGCUGGUCUGAGAGGACGACCAGCCACACUGGGACUGAGACACGGCCCAGACUCCUACGGGAGGCAGCAGUGGGGAAUUUUGGACAAUGGGCGAAAGCCUGAUCCAGCAAUGCCGCGUGUGUGAAGAAGGCCUUCGGGCUGUAAAGCACUUUUGUCCGGAAAGAAAUCCUUGGUUCUAAUAUAGCCGGGGGAUGACGGUACCGGAAGAAUAAGCACCGGCUAACUACGUGCCAGCAGCCGCGGUAAUACGUAGGGUGCGAGCGUUAAUCGGAAUUACUGGGCGUAAAGCGUGCGCAGGCGGUUUGCUAAGACCGAUGUGAAAUCCCCGGGCUCAACCUGGGAACUGCAUUGGUGACUGGCAGGCUAGAGUAUGGCAGAGGGGGGUAGAAUUCCACGUGUAGCAGUGAAAUGCGUAGAGAUGUGGAGGAAUACCGAUGGCGAAGGCAGCCCCCUGGGCCAAUACUGACGCUCAUGCACGAAAGCGUGGGGAGCAAACAGG